UACGUAGGUGGCAAGCGUUGUCCGGAUUUACUGGGCGUAAAGAGCGCGCAGGCGGUCGUUCAAGUCGAGUGUGAAAGCCCCCGGCUCAACUGGGGAGGGUCAUUCGAUACUGAUCGACUCGAAGGCAGGAGAGGGUAGUGGAAUUCCCGGUGUAGUGGUGAAAUGCGUAGAUAUCGGGAGGAACACCAGUGGCGAAGGCGACUACCUGGCCUGUUCUUGACGCUGAGGCGCGAAAGCUAGGGGAGCAAACAGG
This 253-nucleotide ribosomal RNA is filed under the name uncultured bacterium. Its description in RNAcentral is "partial 16S ribosomal RNA". It matches the Rfam family "Bacterial small subunit ribosomal RNA", at positions 524 to 776 of the family's 1533-position model. The record is from RNAcentral.